RNAcentral lists this ribosomal RNA (200 nucleotides) under uncultured bacterium. RNAcentral describes it as "partial 16S ribosomal RNA". It matches the Rfam family "Bacterial small subunit ribosomal RNA", at positions 524 to 721 of the family's 1533-position model. The record is from RNAcentral.
UACGUAGGGAGCAAGCGUUGUCCGGAAUCAUUGGGCGUAAAGCGCGCGUAGGCGGCCUCGUAAGUCCGUUGUGAAAGUCAAAGGCUCAACCUUUGAAAGCCGAUGGAUACUGUGAGGCUAGAGUCCGGAAGAGGCGAGUGGAAUUCCUGGUGUAGCGGUGGAAAUGCGUAGAUAUCAGGAGGAACACCAGUAGGUGUAAG